Molecule: ribosomal RNA, 560 nt
Filed under: uncultured bacterium
Lineage: Bacteria
Description: bacterial SSU rRNA
Rfam family: Bacterial small subunit ribosomal RNA
Source: RNAcentral
CCUACGGGAGGCAGCAGUGGGGAAUCUUGCGCAAUGGGCGAAAGCCUGACGCAGCCAUGCCGCGUGAAUGAUGAAGGUCUUAGGAUUGUAAAAUUCUUUCACCGAGGACGAUAAUGACGGUACUCGGAGAAGAAGCCCCGGCUAACUUCGCGCCAGCAGCCGCGGUAAUACGAAGGGGGCUAGCGUUGCUCGGAAUUACUGGGCGUAAAGGGAGCGUAGGCGGAUAGUUUAGUCAGAGGUGAAAGCCCAGGGCUCAACCUUGGAAUUGCCUUUGAUACUGGCUAUCUUGAGUACGGAAGAGGUAUGUGGAACUCCGAGUGUAGAGGUGAAAUUCGUAGAUAUUCGGAAGAACACCAGUGGCGAAGGCGACAUACUGGUCCGUUACUGACGCUGAGGCUCGAAAGCGUGGGGAGCAAACAGGAUUAGAUACCCUGGUAGUCCACGCUGUAAACGAUGAGUGCUAGUUGUCGGCAUGCAUGCAUGUCGGUGACGCAGCUAACGCAUUAAGCACUCCGCCUGGGGAGUACGGUCGCAAGAUUAAAACUCAAAGGAAUUGACGG